RNAcentral lists this ribosomal RNA (468 nucleotides) under uncultured bacterium. RNAcentral's name for it is "partial 16S ribosomal RNA". It matches the Rfam family "Bacterial small subunit ribosomal RNA", at positions 28 to 507 of the family's 1533-position model. The record is from RNAcentral.
GACGAACGCUGGCGGCGUGCUUAACACAUGCAAGUCGAACGGAAAGGCCCUGCUUUUGUGGGGUGCUCGAGUGGCGAACGGGUGAGUAACACGUGAGUAACCUGCCCUUGACUUUGGGCUAACUUCAGGAAACUCGGGCUAAUACCGGAUAGGAGCUCCUGCUCCAUGGUGGGGGUUGGAAAGUUUCGGCGGUUGGGGAUGGACUCGCGGCUUAUCAGCUUGUUGGUGGGGUAGUGGCUUACCAAGGCUUUGACGGGUAGCCGGCAUGAGAGGGUGACCGGCCACAUUGGGACUGGGAUACGGCCCAGACUCCGACGGGAGGCAGCAGUGGGGAAUGUUGUACAAUGGGCGGAAGCCUGAUGCAGCAACGCCGCGGGCGGGAUGACGGCCUUCGGGUUGUAAUCCGCUUUCGCCUGUGAGGAAGCGUGAGUGACGGUAAUGGGUAAAGAAGCACCGGCUAACUACGUG